UCCCUAGGAAACAUGGGCUGGCUGCACC
This 28-nucleotide non-coding RNA is filed under the name Mus musculus (house mouse). The record is from RNAcentral. Lineage: Eukaryota; Metazoa; Chordata; Mammalia; Rodentia; Muridae.